RNAcentral lists this long non-coding RNA (1236 nucleotides) under Sus scrofa (pig). RNAcentral describes it as "lncRNA (ENSSSCG00070026190.1)". The record is from RNAcentral. Lineage: Eukaryota; Metazoa; Chordata; Mammalia; Artiodactyla; Suidae.
CAUAAAUAAACUCGCGUCAGUUCAGGUGCUCUGUCGCCAAAUACGUUCACAACUGAAUAAGUUUUACAGUCAAAUGAGUUAGGAAAAAUCUUUCAGACUUGAGAGCUUUUUGGAUUUCGGAAUGACGGACAUGGGUUUGUGGACCUGGCGGAGUCUGUUUACACUUUUGGCCCCCUGGGAACUACUGGGCUAGAGGAUGACAGCACAAGACUGUGGCAGCUGACUCAGAAGCAAAGUGACCAGGGAUCCUGGGGAAGAUUCUCCAUUUGAGGACUGGGUUGAUAAAUCGCCCCUACGGCAGACAGUGGCUGUUCAGGGCACGGAAAUGGCAGUUUCAUUUUAUUUAGACUAGGGGCAACAGCAGAGGGAAGAUUCUAGUUUGCUGCACGGCACUGCUCUGGUUGUCACUGCAGUGCCCUGAAGUGGACUGAGAACCAGAGACCCAGUGUCAGGACCAGCAGAACACCGGGACCCGAGCAAGCUGCUGACCUGCAGACCUGCUUCCUCUCAUGGAAAAGAAACAAAACAGACACUUUUACUGAGCACUGACUGCCAUGUGCCUGGAAAGUGCGAAACAAGGCUAUACCACUGCCUGAGAUGAAGAAUGACCUGAUCAAAGCCUCUACCUUGGGAAUCUGUUUAGCCUAGGUUCCUAAAACUCAGAACCUAAGAACAAAGAAUUCGGAGAACACAUCCAAAAAAGAAAAAGUAAUACAUUCUGCCUGAGGAGUUGGAGGAGCCUGGAGGAACUCACAGAAGUGGUGGCAUUCAAGGAAAGCCUUAGAAGGAAAGAAAGUCACCAAGCAGAGGAGGUGGGGGAGGACAUUCGAUAAUGAGAGUGGAAACAGCACACAGUGUGGCAGCGAGGAGCACAUGGUGUGUCCAUGGAAGGACUAUGAGUUGUGGAGGAAAAACAGUAUUUGAUAUGAGGCUCAGAGGGCGAGAACUGCAGACCCCAGAGGCCUGCGAUGCGAGGUGCACAGGUGAGUGGGGGAGGGGAAGGGGACGGUGGUGGUGGUGGGAAUGGGAGGUGUUGGGGGAGCUGCAGGUUGGGUUCCAUGCUGGGUCCAGGCUCCCAUCAGCAUCUGCGCAUCAAACCCAACUGCAUUUUGGGGGACAGUCAUUUUCUAACUUGAUUUGUGUAGGUCUUCAAAGUCUUGAUCGCUGUCUUUCUCGAACCAUAUCAAUAGGAAGCCUAGUUACCUUUCCCACAUUUCAGGAAGGGAUCAGGGAGUC